AGGGGUAUAGCUCAGUCGGUAGAGCAGCCGGUUCCAAACCGGCAGGUCCCGGGUUCAAGUCCUGGUGCCCCUG
RNAcentral lists this transfer RNA (73 nucleotides) under Deltaproteobacteria bacterium. RNAcentral describes it as "tRNA-Trp". It matches the Rfam family "tRNA". From Rfam's summary of the family: Transfer RNA (tRNA) molecules are approximately 80 nucleotides in length. Their secondary structure includes four short double-helical elements and three loops (D, anti-codon, and T loops). Further hydrogen bonds mediate the characteristic L-shaped molecular structure. tRNAs have two regions of fundamental functional importance: the anti-codon, which is responsible for specific mRNA codon recognition, and the 3' end, to which the tRNAs corresponding amino acid is attached (by aminoacyl-tRNA synthetases). tRNAs cope with the degeneracy of the genetic code in two manners: having more than one tRNA (with a specific anti-codon) for a particular amino acid; and 'wobble' base-pairing, i.e. permitting non-standard base-pairing at the 3rd anti-codon position. The record is from RNAcentral. RNAcentral also lists the same sequence under 1 other name. Lineage: Bacteria; Pseudomonadati; Myxococcota; Myxococcia.